RNAcentral lists this ribosomal RNA (467 nucleotides) under uncultured bacterium. RNAcentral describes it as "partial 16S ribosomal RNA". It matches the Rfam family "Bacterial small subunit ribosomal RNA", at positions 29 to 507 of the family's 1533-position model. The record is from RNAcentral.
ACGAACGCUGGCGGCGUGCUUAACACAUGCAAGUCGAACGGUGAAGCUCCAGCUUGCUGGAGUGGAUCAGUGGCGAACGGGUGAGUAACACGUGAGCAACCUGCCCCUGACUCUGGAAUAAGCGCUGGAAACGGCGUCUAAUACUGGAUACGAGAAGGGUCCGCAUGGGCACUUUCUGGAAAGUUUUUCGGUUGGGGAUGGGCUCGCGGCCUAUCAGCUUGUUGGUGAGGUAAUGGCUCACCAAGGCGACGACGGGUAGCCGGCCUGAGAGGGCGACCGGCCACACUGGGACUGAGACACGGCCCAGACUCCUACGGGAGGCAGCAGUGGGGAAUAUUGCACAAUGGGCGAAAGCCUGAUGCAGCGACGCCGCGUGAGGGAUGACGGCCUUCGGGUUGUAAACCUCUUUCAGCACGGAAGAAGCGAAAGUGACGGUACCUGCAGAAGAAGCACCGGCUAACUACGUG